CCGGUUGCUAUGUAGGCAGCCUGAUGCAGCAUGCCGCGUGAGUGAUGAAGGCCUUCGGGUUGUAAAGCUCUUUUUGCUGGGAAGAUAAUGACGGUACCGGUAGAAUAAUGACCGGCUAACUCCGUGCCACCCCCCGUGGUUAUGUGCUAGCAGCCGCGGUAAUAA
RNAcentral lists this ribosomal RNA (165 nucleotides) under uncultured bacterium. Its description in RNAcentral is "partial 16S ribosomal RNA". It matches the Rfam family "Bacterial small subunit ribosomal RNA", at positions 359 to 539 of the family's 1533-position model. The record is from RNAcentral.